GAUGAACGCUGGCGGCGUGCUUAACACAUGCCAGUCGAACGAAGCACUUUAUUUGAUUUCCUUCGGGACUGAUUAUUUUGUGACUGAGUGGCGGACGGGUGAGUAACGCGUGGGUAACCUGCCUUGUACAGGGGGAUAACAGUUGGAAACGGCUGCUAAUACCGCAUAAGCGCACAGCAUCGCAUGAUGCAGUGUGAAAAACUCCGGUGGUAUAAGAUGGAACCGCGUUGGAUUAGCUAGUUGGUGAGGUAACGGCCCACCAAGGCGACGAUCCAUAGCCGACCGGAGAGGGUGACAGGCCACAUUGGGAAUGAGACACGGCCCAAAAUCCGACGGGAGGGAGGAGUGGGGAAUAUUGCACAAUGGGGGAAAGCCUGAUGAAGCGACGCCGCGUGAGCGAAGAAGUAUGUCGGUAUGUAAAGCUCUAUCAGAAGGGAAGAUAAUGACGGUACCUGACGAAGAAGCACCGGCUAAAUACGUG
This 481-nucleotide ribosomal RNA is filed under the name uncultured bacterium. RNAcentral describes it as "partial 16S ribosomal RNA". It matches the Rfam family "Bacterial small subunit ribosomal RNA", at positions 28 to 507 of the family's 1533-position model. The record is from RNAcentral.